GUCAUUAGUGUCUGUGUAUUUAGUCUCUGUGUUUCCCCUCACUCUUUGUCUGGUCAUUGUAUUCUGUCUUGUGAAUUCUGUUUUUCUGUACCCUUGUUCCAUGUUCCUGAUUCUUGCUCCUGAUCCUGCUCAUGCUUCUGCCCCGUUUUGGGCCCGGUACGUGACGGGUCCGUGCUUGGACCAGUGAGAGUCCGUGACUGGAAUGAGGUCCCCCGCCAUGACGUAGUGAACACGGGCCGAAUCGCAUGGAGACCAGUUGCAAUGGUUCAUCUAUCCAUCGGGGCAGGUUGAUGAUGGAAGCAUCAGUGGCGUCUUCUUCUUGUUCCAGUUGUUCCAUCUUUAUGUGGAGAUCGCGACCGAGGGAAACAGCCUCCUCCUGUUUUUAUUUCAAGUCUUCCUCCUCUGCUCUCGUCAGCUGGUUAUCUUCCAUUCCUGGGGUUUGUCCUCUCAGCCAGCCAUGACAUCAGCCUGUUACUACCUCCAGUUUGUCAGUGAAAAACAGAUCUGUUAAACUCAGUGAAGCUGGAACAAGUGUGGGGUAUCUUCUCAUUACUGUAGCUCAUACGGUACAAUCACACCUGCAACCAAUCAGAGGAUCAGAUGCCUCCACAGCUAUAGCUUGACCCCAGCCCAGGUGGAUCUCCAGGGAUCUCACUGGCUGUCACCUCCCAUCUCAUCACAACCUGGCUGGCCCAUAUGUUCCUGUGGCAGGUGUCCUCCUCUCUGUCACCUUUGUGCACCGCAACCCUACUCCGAACCUGGACACUCGAGUGUAUUCCAUACGGGACACACACUCCCAGCAGAGGAAGCGGCUAUUUUUAAAGGACUGGCUGUUUGUGAAAGGAAAAAAAAAGGGGGGGUGGUCAUAUGUUUUUGUUUAUUUAAGCACAUUCAGAAAGAUGUCACUGUGGAAUAUUUGUUGGCUUGGUGACCAGAAGAAAACACAUUUCACAUCAAUUAUUAACUAUAAGUAAACCCAUGUUUUAUUGAAAACUAAAUUAGAUGUACAAGAACACUAUGGAAGCUCACCUAAACAAUAUAGUGUAUCACAUACCUCCCAUCACCUCUGCAGAGAACUGUGAGGGAAAAUAACCGAUUGCUAAUUCACCGUGGUAGAAUCCAGUCAAAGUCUCCACACCAACUACAGUUUCCUUCUUCCCUUUUCUGUUUCUGUCAGAUGCGAGCUGUAUCUUCAUGCCUCCUUGGCAUCGCUCCUCUCGCCUCUGUUUUUUGUUCUCGCCUUUGGUUGAUGGAUUGAAAGGUUGGUGAAGCCUGAGCCAAAUGGAUUUCUGUUCUAGACUGAGAUGCCUUAUUGAGUGGAAUUUUCUACCUGCUGGGAAGCUGUCAAUAUGCCAAAACUUCGAAAGACUGCCUUUGAUUCGUUACUCUCCUCCAUUCAACCUGUUAGUGAAGAAAAGGUCACAUAUACGUGUGUGUGUGUGUG
Acanthopagrus latus (yellowfin seabream) is the source of this 1444-nucleotide long non-coding RNA. RefSeq lists it as uncharacterized. NCBI's taxonomy places the organism in Eukaryota, Metazoa, Chordata, Actinopteri, Spariformes, Sparidae. The transcript is spliced from 5 exons. The record is from RefSeq and is a predicted model, not a curated record.